AGUGAACGCUGGCGGUAGGCCUAACACAUGCAAGUCGAACGGCAGCACAGUAAGAGCUUGCUCUUACGGGUGGCGAGUGGCGGACGGGUGAGGCAUACAUCGGAAUCUACUUUUUCGUGGGGGAUAACGUAGGGACACUUACGCUAAUACCGCAUACGACCUACGGGUGAAAGCAGUGGAUCUUCGGACCUUGCGCGAUUCAAUGAGCCGAUGUCGGAUUAGCUAGUUGGCGGGGUAAAGGCCCACCAAGGCGACGAUCCGUAGCUGGUCUGAGAGGAUGAUCAGCCACACUGGAACUGAGACACGGUCCAGACUCCUACGGGAGGCAGCAGUGGGGAAUAUUGGACAAUGGGCGAAAGCCUGAUCCAGCCAUACCGCGUGAGUGAAGAAGGCCUUCGGGUUGUAAAGCCCUUUUGUUGGGAAAGAAAAGCAGCAGGUUAAUACCCCGCUGUUCUGACGGUACCCAAAGAAUAAGCACCGGCUAACUUCGUG
RNAcentral lists this ribosomal RNA (492 nucleotides) under uncultured bacterium. RNAcentral's name for it is "partial 16S ribosomal RNA". It matches the Rfam family "Bacterial small subunit ribosomal RNA", at positions 29 to 507 of the family's 1533-position model. The record is from RNAcentral.